GACGAACGCUGGCGGCGUGCUUAACACAUGCAAGUCGAACGAAGAGCGAUGGAAGCUUGCUUCUAUCAAUCUUAGUGGCGAACGGGUGAGUAACGCGUAAUCAACCUGCCCUUCAGAGGGGGACAACAGUUGGAAACGACUGCUAAUACCGCAUACGAUCUAAUCUCGGCAUCGAGGACAGAUGAAAGGUGGCCUCUACAUGUAAGCUAUCACUGAAGGAGGGGAUUGCGUCUGAUUAGCUAGUUGGAGGGGUAACGGCCCACCAAGGCGAUGAUCAGUAGCCGGUCUGAGAGGAUGAACGGCCACAUUGGGACUGAGACACGGCCCAGACUCCUACGGGAGGCAGCAGUGGGGAAUCUUCCGCAAUGGACGAAAGUCUGACGGAGCAACGCCGCGUGAGUGAUGACGGCCUUCGGGUUGUAAAGCUCUGUUAAUCGGGACGAAAGGCCUUCUUGCGAACAGUUAGAAGGAUUGACGGUACCGGAAUAGAAAGCCACGGCUAACUACGUG
This 510-nucleotide ribosomal RNA is filed under the name uncultured bacterium. RNAcentral describes it as "partial 16S ribosomal RNA". It matches the Rfam family "Bacterial small subunit ribosomal RNA", at positions 28 to 507 of the family's 1533-position model. The record is from RNAcentral.